UGGCGAACGGGUGAGUAACACGUGGGUGAUCUGCCCUGCACUUCGGGAUAAGCCUGGGAAACUGGGUCUAAUACCGGAUAGGAGCCAUUUUUAGUGUGAUGGUUGGAAAGUUUUUUCGGUGUAGGAUGAGCUCGCGGCCUAUCAGCUUGUUGGUGGGGUAAUGGCCUACCAAGGCGCGACGGGUAGCCGGCCUGAGAGGGUGUACGGCCACAUUGGGACUGAGAUACGGCCCAG
RNAcentral lists this ribosomal RNA (234 nucleotides) under uncultured Actinomycetales bacterium. Its description in RNAcentral is "partial 16S ribosomal RNA". It matches the Rfam family "Bacterial small subunit ribosomal RNA", at positions 96 to 334 of the family's 1533-position model. Lineage: Bacteria; Bacillati; Actinomycetota; Actinomycetes; Actinomycetales. The record is from RNAcentral.